CCUACGGGUGACAGCAGUGGGGAAUAUUGCGCAAUGGGCGAAAGCCUGACGCAGCGACGCCGCGUGAGGGAUGAAGGUCUUCGGAUCGUAAACCUCUGUCAGCAGGGAAAAACGGUCACUGUGCUAAUCAGCAGUGAAUUCACGGUACCUGCAAAGGAAGCACCGGCUAACUCCGUGCCAGCAGCCGCGGUAAUACGGAGGGUGAGAGCGUUAAUCGGAAUUACUGGGCGUAAAGCGCUCGUAGGCGGUAUGUCAAGUCAAGGGGGAAAUCCCCGCGCUCAACGUGGGAACUGCCUUUGAUAAUGGCAAACUGGAGUGUGUGAGAGGAUAGUGGAAUUCCAGGUGUAGGAGUGAAAUCCGGAGAUAUCUGGAGGAACAUCAGUGGCGAAGGCGACUAUCUGGCACAUAACUGACGCUGAGGAGCGAAAGCGUGGGUAGCAAACAGGAUUAGAUACCCGAGUAGUC
RNAcentral lists this ribosomal RNA (465 nucleotides) under uncultured bacterium. RNAcentral's name for it is "partial 16S ribosomal RNA". It matches the Rfam family "Bacterial small subunit ribosomal RNA", at positions 338 to 795 of the family's 1533-position model. The record is from RNAcentral.